GGACUACUAGGGUUUCUAAUCCUGUUUGCUCCCCACGCUUUCGAGCCUCAACGUCAGUAAUCGUCCAGUAAGUCGCCUUCGCCACUGGUGUUCCUCCUAAUAUCUACGCAUUUCACCGCUACACUAGGAAUUCCACUUACCUCUCCGACACUCUAGUUCACCAGUUUCCAAUGCAGUCUCGAGGUUGAGCCCCGAGUUUUCACAUCAGACUUAACAAACCGUCUACGCUCCCUUUACACCCAGUAAAUCCGGAUAACGCUUGCCCCCUACGUAUUACCGCGGCUGCUGGCAC
This 292-nucleotide ribosomal RNA is filed under the name uncultured bacterium. RNAcentral's name for it is "partial 16S ribosomal RNA". The record is from RNAcentral.